Molecule: ribosomal RNA, 746 nt
Filed under: uncultured Parvimonas sp.
Lineage: Bacteria; Bacillati; Bacillota; Tissierellia; Tissierellales; Peptoniphilaceae
Description: bacterial SSU rRNA
Rfam family: Bacterial small subunit ribosomal RNA
Source: RNAcentral
GACGAACGCUGGCGGCGUGCUUAACACAUGCAAGUCGAACGUGAUUUUCAUGGAAGGACCUUCGGGGACGGAAAUGAAAUGAAAGUGGCGAACGGGUGAGUAACACGUGAGCAACCUACCUUACACAGGGGGAUAGCCGUUGGAAACGACGAUUAAUACCGCAUGAGACCACAGAACCGCAUGGUAAAGGGGUCAAAGAUUUAUCGGUGUAAGAUGGGCUCGCGUCUGAUUAGCUAGUUGGAAGGGUAAAGGCCUACCAAGGCGACGAUCAGUAGCCGGUCUGAGAGGAUGAACGGCCACAUUGGAACUGAGACACGGUCCAAACUCCUACGGGAGGCAGCAGUGGGGAAUAUUGCACAAUGGGGGAAACCCUGAUGCAGCGACGCCGCGUGAGCGAAGAAGGUUUUCGAAUCGUAAAGCUCUGUCCUAUGAGAAGAUAAUGACGGUAUCAUAGGAGGAAGCCCCGGCUAAAUACGUGCCAGCAGCCGCGGUAAUACGUAUGGGGCGAGCGUUGUCCGGAAUUAUUGGGCGUAAAGGGUACGUAGGCGGCCUUUUAAGUCAGGUGUGAAAGCGUGAGGCUUAACCUCAUUAAGCACUUGAAACUGGAAGGCUUGAGUGAAGGAGAGGAAAGUGGAAUUCCUAGUGUAGCGGUGAAAUGCGUAGAUAUUAGGAGGAAUACCGGUGGCGAAGGCGACUUUCUGGACUUUUACUGACGCUCAGGUACGAAAGCGUGGGGAGCAAACAGG